UUGCCUGCAGAAGGCAAUUACGGAUGCCAGGCAUUUCGGAAACACUCUGGGCGCAGUAGAUAAGCCAAAGGGCAAUGCAGAGAAUUGGUAAUGGGUUGAACCUGCAAGAAAUCUGAGGUAUCUUCUGCAAUCUUGUCUGAUAGGGACAUGCAGGUAUGC
Protopterus annectens (West African lungfish) is the source of this 159-nucleotide long non-coding RNA. RefSeq lists it as uncharacterized. The record is from RefSeq and is a predicted model, not a curated record. Lineage: Eukaryota; Metazoa; Chordata; Ceratodontiformes; Protopteridae. The transcript has 3 exons.